UACGUAGGGUGCGAGCGUUAAUCGGAAUUACUGGGCGUAAAGCGUGCGCAGGCGGUUGUGCAAGACAGAUGUGAAAUCCCCGGGCUUAACCUGGGAAUGGCAUUUGUGACUGCACGGCUAGAGUGUGUCAGAGGGGGGUAGAAUUCCACGUGUAGCAGUGAAAUGCGUAGAUAUGUGGAGGAACACCGAUGGCGAAGGCAGCCCCCUGGGAUAACACUGACGCUCAUGCACGAAAGCGUGGGGAGCAAACAGG
RNAcentral lists this ribosomal RNA (253 nucleotides) under uncultured bacterium. RNAcentral's name for it is "partial 16S ribosomal RNA". It matches the Rfam family "Bacterial small subunit ribosomal RNA", at positions 524 to 776 of the family's 1533-position model. The record is from RNAcentral.